AACGAACGCUGGCGGCAUGCCUAACACAUGCAAGUCGAACGAGACCUUCGGGUCUAGUGGCGCACGGGUGCGUAACGCGUGGGAACCUGCCCUUAGGUUCGGAAUAACUCCCCGAAAGGGGUGCUAAUACCGGAUAAUGUCUUCGGACCAAAGAUUUAUCGCCUUUGGAUGGGCCCGCGUUGGAUUAGCUAGUUGGUAGGGUAAAAGCCUACCAAGGCGACGAUCCAUAGCUGGUCUGAGAGGAUGAUCAGCCACACUGGGACUGAGACACGGCCCAGACUCCUACGGGAGGCAGCAGUGGGGAAUAUUGGGCAAUGGGCGAAAGCCUGAUCCAGCAAUGCCGCGUGAGUGAUGAAGGCCUUAGGAUUGUAAAGCUCUUUUACCCGGGAUGAUAAUGACAGUACCGGGAGAAGAAGCUCCGGCUAACUCCGUG
This 433-nucleotide ribosomal RNA is filed under the name uncultured bacterium. RNAcentral's name for it is "partial 16S ribosomal RNA". It matches the Rfam family "Bacterial small subunit ribosomal RNA", at positions 29 to 507 of the family's 1533-position model. The record is from RNAcentral.